Molecule: long non-coding RNA, 392 nt
Organism: Dendronephthya gigantea
Lineage: Eukaryota; Metazoa; Cnidaria; Anthozoa; Malacalcyonacea; Nephtheidae
Exons: 3
Source: RefSeq, a predicted model, not a curated record
UGUGCGUCAAGUGCGCCGCAGGUAGAGAACAAAGCCCUUGGAUGCGAGACUGGCGGAUUUAAUCCACAAUCCAGUCAAUCCACGAAUUUGAACCUUAAUCUAAUCCUAUAUCGUUGGUUAAGGAUUAGGAUCAGGUUUAAGUUUAAGAAGUCAAGAUUAUAUUUUUGGAUUCUGGACAUGAAAUUAGCACCCAAAUAUUCACUUCAAUUUUAUUGGUCUCUCUCUACUAACCUCUUGGGCCAUUGAAAGAAGAAUGGAAUCAUUUUUAUUGUUGUGUAUCAACUCCAAAUAUCUAAAAGGAAGAUCUUGUUACCUUCUCAAAGAUAGUUCAGAUACUGAUGGAAACAUAUGGACAUAGUAUACUUUCAUAACUAAACAAUUUACCUUUUAUA